Molecule: non-coding RNA, 123 nt
Organism: Klebsiella pneumoniae ISC21
Lineage: Bacteria; Pseudomonadati; Pseudomonadota; Gammaproteobacteria; Enterobacterales; Enterobacteriaceae
Source: Rfam
GUCAUACUACGGUGCAACGUCCAGUAAAGUAAACGAUGACCCAUAAUGAACUUCGGGGUAAAAUACCCAUCAAAUGAAAAAUUGCUGCUGACCUGGGGAGUGUUUCCCGGGUCGGUUUCUUUU